GGGAGUAUAGCUCAGUGGUUAGAGCACCCGCAUACGUAUCGGAAGGUCGGGGGUUCGACUCCCCCUGCCUCCA
Molecule: transfer RNA, 73 nt
Filed under: Pristionchus pacificus
Lineage: Eukaryota; Metazoa; Nematoda; Chromadorea; Rhabditida; Neodiplogasteridae
Rfam family: tRNA
About the family: Transfer RNA (tRNA) molecules are approximately 80 nucleotides in length. Their secondary structure includes four short double-helical elements and three loops (D, anti-codon, and T loops).
Source: Rfam by way of RNAcentral